UAAAAAGCAGUUUCAGGCCUCCCUUGACAGGCUGAUUUAUGCAGUGGUGAUAUCAUUCUCAGAGUGUUCCAACUUCAAAUGGACAUGAAUUGAGUUACAACUUGGGGGAAAAGGGGAGAGAGCGAAUGCAGUCCCCCACUACCGCAAAUUAUGCAGUUGAGUUUCCCACAUUUGGGAAUUCACAGGGGUCAGCACAUCCAAAGUGUAGUGGAUAAGAUCCACCCUGGAAAACCACCUUAAUGAUUAUGGUAUCUCCCCUGCCAGCCACCAUCAGAUGAAUAGUACUGUUUCAUCACAUUCUCCCACCACUGGAGAACUGCCAAAGAAUCUAAGCAAGGAGGCCAAGAGACCAUGGACUGAAACCACGAGCCAAAACAAAUCUCUCCUCUUUUUAAAUUGUUCGUCUCAGGUAUUUUUCACAC
Long non-coding RNA from Fukomys damarensis (Damara mole-rat), 422 nucleotides. RefSeq lists it as uncharacterized. The record is from RefSeq and is a predicted model, not a curated record. Lineage: Eukaryota; Metazoa; Chordata; Mammalia; Rodentia; Bathyergidae. The transcript is spliced from 3 exons.